GCUCUCUUGGUUUAGUGGCAGAAUACUCGCUUAGGGAUAAGCAGCGCAUGCUGUCCAAAGUGCGUGAGUCCUGGGUUCGAUUCCCGGAGAGGGCC
This is a non-coding RNA of Tilletiopsis washingtonensis, 95 nucleotides long. The record is from the annotation of a RefSeq genome assembly. NCBI's taxonomy places the organism in Eukaryota, Fungi, Basidiomycota, Exobasidiomycetes, Entylomatales.